CUAUUUGCUGAGUCAUUAUCUCUCUGUGUCUUCUGAUAGGUGGAUAGUUGUGGGCGUGUGAUUGAGGGCGUGGCCUGUAUAAAGAAGGAGGGGUGUAACGGUGAAGCAGAGAAUCGGGCUUCAAAAAACCUGGAGCAGAGCGACUCCUCCCCUGACUCCACCCACCAGAACGGCACAGACACGCCUUCUGGAGCAGACGGAGACUCCGCCCCUUCCACUCCACGGAAGAAACGAGGGCGGCGGAAACUCCAGCACCCGGAACGCCACAUUGAGGAGGACGACACCAGCAGCGACACCAGCAGAGGAG
Sinocyclocheilus anshuiensis is the source of this 307-nucleotide long non-coding RNA. Lineage: Eukaryota; Metazoa; Chordata; Actinopteri; Cypriniformes; Cyprinidae. The record is from Ensembl.